GGAGGAUAUUAGUUUUUCUUAAUAUUCUAUAGACACACCAGCAAUCCAGCAACAGGACGUUGCUGGAAGCGAAGUUUGAGCCAUGGAUGGCGAAUCUGAGCGGUUGCGACAGUCAGAUUAAGUCUGAAUCAGAAUAUUUAGAAAAUCUUAUUUCCGAAA
This 159-nucleotide non-coding RNA is filed under the name human gut metagenome. The record is from RNAcentral.